UAUUGAGCAAAAUCUGUUCAGUAUUAUUAAACUGUUUGACUUUUUUAGGAAUGAAUUCACUCAUUGAGAAAUGUUAAUUUUAGUAUGCAGGUCAUGCUUCUUGGGUUUGUACUACUAGGACGUUCUUUGGAGGAAAGGGCAAGGCUGAAAGCAUCUAGUGACAUGAAUGAGCUAUUUGUAAGUUGUUUCUGUGUUAUGUGAUUUAAUAGGGUUAUUUUUCAUUUGUCGGGGGCUCAAGAAGUGGACCAGAAAAUCGCAAGCAAAAUUGUAAGUUGUUUCAGUGUUAUGUGAUUUAAUAGGGUUAUUUUUCAUUUGUCGGGGGCUCAAGAAGUGGACCAGAAAAUCGCAAGCAAAAUAUGGGCUAUAAGACUCUUCAGUAUUUGAUGCUCUUCAAAAGUUGAAAAAUCUAUUAACUACUGGAGUCUAGAUGUUUUACGUGUUGAAGUUUUCUGAUACAGUAGCAUCAAUGACUUUGUUGUAACCAUUCGUGCGACUUCUAAGCUAAACCACCUAUUUAAUCAUGUUAUUCAACAAUACAUUAUCCCUGAUAACAUGAAAUCUAAGUAUUAAAUGUUUUUUUUCCAUUAGUCCUCAAGACUUUGAAUUGUGUGCAUAUACUAGUCAAUACAUUUGAGAUAAAAAAUGAAACAUGUCCGUUAUCAAUUUUUCUCUUAUUUUAUUGAUGAAUUUAAGAGUUCCUUUUUCCAGAAUGCUGCUAUUAGUUGCUAGCAGUGCUACUUUUGGAGCAUUUAUACGGAAGAUAUAGUUAUAAGCGUUGCAUAAAAGCUCUGAUCUGUUAUUUCUGGUGGCAGUGAGAUUAUUAGUUCUGAACUGCAAUCUUGCUGCCUUUGUUUUCUGUUCAUUCAUUUAUCAAGACACAUCUAUGGAGGAAUUGCGUUGGCACUCUGACGGGUAAGUCCAUUGAGUUGGCGAAGGUUCUUCAGAAGAGGAGGGUUAACA
Molecule: long non-coding RNA, 960 nt
Filed under: Nicotiana benthamiana
Lineage: Eukaryota; Viridiplantae; Streptophyta; Magnoliopsida; Solanales; Solanaceae
Description: long non-coding RNA (NBEN_LNC020636)
Source: RNAcentral